Hyla sarda is the source of this 130-nucleotide small nucleolar RNA. RefSeq annotates it as small nucleolar RNA SNORA15. Lineage: Eukaryota; Metazoa; Chordata; Amphibia; Anura; Hylidae. The record is from RefSeq and is a predicted model, not a curated record. The transcript has a single exon.
GCAUGGAUAAAUUCUGCAUGACCUUGUGGUAGAUCUUGCAGCCAGACACCAUGCUAAAGUAAACCCCACGUGUGCUUUUCUAUAUGGCGUUCCAUGUUUUGGCAGCGUAUUGGCACUGUUGUGAACAAAU